UGUUUUCACGUACCUUAAUUUGUUUGAUACAUAUAUAAGUAGUAUUUUAUGCUAUGGCAGUGAGAUAUGGGGCUUUCAUAAAGCUCCGAAUAUUGAAAAAGUUCAGUUAGAUUUUUGCAAAAAUAUUUUAGGUGUCAAACAAUGUACAACGAAUGUAAUGGUGUAUUAUGAACUUGGUAGAUAUCCUUUGAUAUAUUCUAGAUUGUAUAAUAUUAUAAGAUACUGGUUUAAACUUUUAUCAACUAAUAAUUGUAUUCUUGAAAAUUGUUACAAAGAGCAGGUACGGAAUCAAUGUAAUAACAGAAAUAGUUGGAUUUAUCAACUGAAGUAUUUAUUGUUUAAUUUGGGUCUGAAUGACUUCUGGUAUAACCAAGAUAAUUUAGUUGUAAAUGACACUCUUAAGUAUUUUUGUCAAAACUAGAAUAUUUGAUCAAGCUUAUCAAUAUUUGAAUCAAUUAUUGGAUGGCUCGCCAAAGUGUUUUUUAUAUAAAUACUGUGUAAAUAAUGUUUGUUUACAAUUUUACCUUACUAAACAUGUGAAUUUUAGAGUGUAUCUAACUAGAAUAAGAUUGUCUUCACAUAACUUAUUUGUUGAAACAGGACGAUAUCACGGGGUUAAUAGAUCAGAAAGAAAAUGCACUCUCUGUACUUUAAAUACGAUAGAAGACGAGUUUCAUUUUAUUUUACAGUGUGAUUGUUAUAAUGAAAUUAGGAGGCAGUAUAUUAAGCCAUAUUAUUAUAAGCGUCCAUCGUCAUUUAAACUUAUACAGUUGUUGGGCACAGAAAAUGUAAAAGACAUAUGUAACCUUUGUAAAUAUCUUUUCCAUGCAUUUAAACGAAGAACAGACAUGUUAUAAGUUACCAAUACUUAAUAUAGA
RNAcentral lists this long non-coding RNA (878 nucleotides) under Mytilus galloprovincialis (Mediterranean mussel). Lineage: Eukaryota; Metazoa; Mollusca; Bivalvia; Mytilida; Mytilidae. The record is from RNAcentral.